This 414-nucleotide ribosomal RNA is filed under the name uncultured archaeon. Its description in RNAcentral is "bacterial SSU rRNA". It matches the Rfam family "Archaeal small subunit ribosomal RNA", at positions 459 to 872 of the family's 1478-position model. The record is from RNAcentral.
CAGCCGCCGCGGUAAUACCGGUGGCUCGAGUGGUGGCCGCUUUUAUUGGGCUUAAAGCGUUCGUAGCUGGGUUGUUAAGUCUCUUGGGAAAUCUGGCGGCUUAACCGUCAGGCGUCUAAGGGAUACUGGCAAUCUUGGAACCGGGAGAGGUGAGGGGUACUUCGGGGGUAGGAGUGAAAUCCUGUAAUCCUCGAGGGACCACCUGUGGCGAAGGCGCCUCACCAGAACGGCUUCGACAGUGAGGGACGAAAGCUGGGGGAGCAAACCGGAUUAGAUACCCGGGUAGUCCCAGCCGUAAACUAUGCGCGUUAGGUGUAUCGGUGACCACGAGUUACCGAGGUGCCGAAGGGAAACCGUGAAACGUGCCGCCUGGGAAGUACGGUCGCAAGGCUGAAACUUAAAGGAAUUGGCGGG